GCAAAAUUUUUAUGUUAACUAGAUGAAGAAAUUCUUACUAAAGACAUUAGUGGGCAUAUUGUGUUACUAAAUGUCAAAACUAAUAAUAAAUCAAUUUUAGCAUACAAUACAAUGCAGAAUGUCCGAUUUUGUUAUGAUUAUAAUUUAUCAGCUGACAAAAAAUACCUUUUGGUAGCUUACAACUAUACAAAAAUUUUUAAAUAUUCAUAUACAGCGUUCUACGAUGUGAUUAACAUAAAAAAUGGGUAAAUUAUAAAAAUAUAUAUAUAUA
Molecule: long non-coding RNA, 271 nt
Organism: Daktulosphaira vitifoliae (grape phylloxera)
Lineage: Eukaryota; Metazoa; Arthropoda; Insecta; Hemiptera; Phylloxeridae
Exons: 3
Source: RefSeq, a predicted model, not a curated record